Vigna umbellata (rice bean) is the source of this 791-nucleotide non-coding RNA. The record is from RefSeq and is a predicted model, not a curated record. NCBI's taxonomy places the organism in Eukaryota, Viridiplantae, Streptophyta, Magnoliopsida, Fabales, Fabaceae.
UCAGAUUAUCAACGUGUACAUUACAAAAUAUGAUAGUGGGGGACAGUUCUGGCCUAUUGCUCACAACACCACCGUGUUUUCAUUUAUAUUUUCUCAACUUAUCGCGCUGGGGGUGUUUGGACUUAAACGCUCAACAGUUGCAUCUGGAUUCACCAUUCCAUUGUUGAUUGGUACGCUUCUAUUUCACCAGUAUUGUAGGCAACGGUUUCUCCCAAUAUUCAAGAGCAAUUCAGCACAGAUUGUAAUUGACAUGGAUAUGAGAGAUGAGCACAGCGGGAGGAUGGAAGAGAUUUAUGAGCAUUUACCUUUAGCCUACAGCCAGCCCAGUUUAAUGGAAGAUGCCUCAAGUCAACCCCAAUGCGACAAACGUCACGAGGACAUGGACAGAGGUCAAUCUUCAUCAGAAGAUAUGGAAACAGGCAAGGAACUUUUUAAAAAAGAUAGACCACGCCCAGUACAACGCUCAGUGAGUUUGAACUCGGAUAAAUCUGUACUUGGUUUAAACCUAUGAGUACACCGAAAAUACUGUACAUUGUAUAAGAAAUAUCAUGACGUGCACUAAAGGUGCCUGUGCACGAACAAUUGUUCAAAAUAUAGAUGAAGAUCAGAGUCUCUUGAGAUAUAUAUGUUGUUCAUUAAUUUUUUAGUUGUAAAUAGUUUUCUUUUAAAAUGAGUUCAAUUAAAUGUAAAUAGAAAUGUAAUAAUACAACAUUGUCAUCAAAAGUGAAAUAAAUUGCAGAAAACUGAGAAAUUGAGAUACGGCAACAUGCAUAUAUCUUUAAAGGAUUUUC